Molecule: ribosomal RNA, 274 nt
Filed under: uncultured bacterium
Lineage: Bacteria
Description: partial 16S ribosomal RNA
Rfam family: Bacterial small subunit ribosomal RNA
Source: RNAcentral
AUACGUAGGGGGCAAGCGUUACUCGGAUUUAUUGGGCGUAAAGCGAAUGUAGGCGGUUUUGAAAGUCAGGGGUGAAAUCCCUCAGCUCAACUGAGGAAGUGCCUUUGAAACUUCAUGACUAGAGGACAGGAGAGGAAAGUGGAAUUCCCGGUGUAGCGGUGGAAUGCGUAGAUAUCGGGAGGAACACCAGAGGCGAAGGCGGCUUUCUGGACUGAUCCUGACGCUGAGAUUCGAAAGCUAGGGGAGCAAACAGGAUUAGAUACCCUAGUAGUCC